Molecule: transfer RNA, 63 nt
Filed under: Asbolus verrucosus
Lineage: Eukaryota; Metazoa; Arthropoda; Insecta; Coleoptera; Tenebrionidae
Description: tRNA-Pro
Source: RNAcentral
CAGGAAGUAGUUUAUUUAAAAUAUUAAUUUUGGAGAUUAAAGAAAGAUGUUAUUUCUUCUUGA